GACGAACGCUGGCGGCGUGCUUAACACAUGCAAGUCGAACGGAAAGGCCCUGCUUUUGUGGGGUGCUCGAGUGGCGAACGGGUGAGUAACACGUGAGUAACCUGCCCUUGACUUUGGGAUAACUUCAGGAAACUGGGGCUAAUACCGGAUAGGAUCUCCUGCUGCAUGGUGGGGGUUGGAAAGUUUCGGCGGUUGGGGAUGGACUCGCGGCUUAUCAGCUUGUUGGUGGGGUAGUGGCUUACCAAGGCUUUGACGGGUAGCCGGCCUGAGAGGGUGACCGGCCACAUUGGGACUGAGAUACGGCCCAGACGCCUACGGGAGGCAGCAGUGGGGAAUAUUGCACAAUGGGCGGAAGCCUGAUGCAGCAACGCCGCGUGCGGGAUGACGGCCUUCGGGUUGUAAACCGCUUUCGCCUGUGACGAAGCGUGAGUGACGGUAAUGGGUAAAGAAGCACCGGCUAACUACGUG
This 468-nucleotide ribosomal RNA is filed under the name uncultured bacterium. RNAcentral describes it as "partial 16S ribosomal RNA". It matches the Rfam family "Bacterial small subunit ribosomal RNA", at positions 28 to 507 of the family's 1533-position model. The record is from RNAcentral.